Long non-coding RNA from Populus euphratica (Euphrates poplar), 374 nucleotides. RefSeq lists it as uncharacterized. The record is from RefSeq and is a predicted model, not a curated record. The transcript is spliced from 2 exons. Lineage: Eukaryota; Viridiplantae; Streptophyta; Magnoliopsida; Malpighiales; Salicaceae.
UCCCUUGCUUCAGUGGAUAGUGAAUGGACCCCCUCCACAAAUGUAGGCUCUUCAGCUAGAAACAUAAAUUGUCAGUGUCUUCUUAUUUACUUACAUUCAUCUUGUGAUUUCUGCUUUGUAUUGUUUUUUCCAUACAAUUGCUAUUUUCCAAAGAAAAAACUUUCAUGGCUUGCAUGUAACAAGCAACAGUCCCCGAGAAACAUAGUUCAAAAUGUAGGCAUUCAAGUGUUUAACACCAUCAAUUAGUAAACUAUUUCUCUUCCUUAUACAGUCAAGACAUUGCCUUUUUAACUCUUCUUUCAUCCUGCCCUGACAAGAAAAUGAUGACUUAAUGAUUUUAUCUGGAAUUAUCAUGUUGUAAUUUGCAUCAAUGA